UAAGGAAUAUUGCUCAAUGGGAGAAUCCUGAAGCAGCAACGCCGCGUGGAGGAUGAAGGGUUUUUAACUUGUAAACUCCUGUAAAGAAGGAAAAAAUUCCCAUUAGAUGGGAAAUGAUGGUACUUCUGGAGUAAGCCCGGCUAACUACGUGCCAGCAGCCGCGGUAAUACGUAGGGGGCAAGCGUUGUCCGGAUUUACUGGGUGUAAAGGGUGCUCAGGCGGAUUUGUAAGUCAGAGGUGAAAUCUCACAGCUUAACUGUGAAACUGCCUUUGAUACUGCAAGCCUAGAGUAUGGAAGAGAGUGAUGGAAUAUCUGGUGUAGCAGUGAAAAUGCGUAGAUAUCAGAUAGAACACCAAUGGCGAAGGCAGUCACUUGGUCCAUAACUGACGCUAAAGCACGAAAGCGUGGGUAGCAAAACAGGAUUAGAUACCCUGGUAGUCCACGCCCUAAACGAUGAAUACUAGAUGUUGGCUUCGCAUGAAGUCAGUAUCUGAGCUAACGCAUUAAGUAUUCCACCUGGGAAGUACGAUCGCAAGGUUGAAACUCAAAGGAAUUGACGGGGUCAUAGCUGUUUCCUG
Molecule: ribosomal RNA, 579 nt
Filed under: uncultured bacterium
Lineage: Bacteria
Description: partial 16S ribosomal RNA
Rfam family: Bacterial small subunit ribosomal RNA
Source: RNAcentral